Long non-coding RNA from Triticum aestivum (bread wheat), 745 nucleotides. RefSeq lists it as uncharacterized. The record is from RefSeq and is a predicted model, not a curated record. The transcript is spliced from 3 exons. Lineage: Eukaryota; Viridiplantae; Streptophyta; Magnoliopsida; Poales; Poaceae.
GCAAAAGCAAAGCAGCAGCAUACAUACGUUGCUUUAUGCUUUGGCAAAGAGGAAGGGGGGAAGCAUGAAACAAAGCAGCAGCUGCAUCAAUAUGGAGGAGGUAUCAAGCAAGGAAUCAUGCACUCUUUAGUCGCAAGCAGAGAGGAGGAGCCAAUUUCAUUGCUCUCCAGCUUCUGAGGGCAAAGCCUCACACCCAUGCAUUAGCUGUUUAACAAUUGACGAAGCAGAUAGGAGUAGUUCAAAAUUUUCUAUCCAAGUUUUUGCUAUCUCAGGCUUCUCAUCUGCUGUCUGCUGUUAAGGUGGUUCCAAGAUCUUGAACCGAUGGGUUAGAUAGAUUCAUCAGAUUUGCAGCUGAUGAAGAUUUAUCCCGACUAGUUCUCAGCAUAUGAAGAUUUAUUAAGUUGCGCUCCUGCUUUUCUCUCUCGGUCUUGGGCGGAGGAAUUCAUCAUGACUAGUAGUCACCAGUUGAUGAUUGGUUAAGUUUGCUGCUGCUUUUCUUUCUUGGUCUUUCACAGAUCACGAGUUGAGUUCGAUCCACGGUGGUGCUGAGAUCUUGAACGGACGCGUUAGACUGAUCAAAUCUGCAGAGCAGAUUUUCUCUCUUGGUCUCCAAGGAGUAUUUCAUCCUGAGUAGUUCUCCUCAGUUGAACAUUGAUUUAAGUCUUUCGGUUGCUCCUCUCUCGCUCUUUCUCAUGGUCUUAAACGAGGAAUUCAUCACGUCUCCCCAUCAGAUGAAGAUUAGAUC